This 227-nucleotide long non-coding RNA is filed under the name Elaeis guineensis (African oil palm). RNAcentral describes it as "long non-coding RNA (EGUI_LNC074379)". Lineage: Eukaryota; Viridiplantae; Streptophyta; Magnoliopsida; Arecales; Arecaceae. The record is from RNAcentral.
GGCCUGGCAAAAUUUGGAAUAGUGUUUCUUCUUUAUCUUCUUCUUAAUCUUUUGUACCUCUUCCUGGUGCUUGGUAUCCCUGCAAGCACCUUUUGUCCUAUUUUCUUCUUCCUACUUUCUUCUCCAUCAUGUACAUAUAUUUUUAAUUUAAUCACAGAGGUUUCUGUCCAUGAAAAAAUGCAGAAAGCGAAAAAAGAUAUAUAUAACAGGGAUUUAUUGAUGUACAG